Molecule: ribosomal RNA, 253 nt
Filed under: uncultured bacterium
Lineage: Bacteria
Description: partial 16S ribosomal RNA
Rfam family: Bacterial small subunit ribosomal RNA
Source: RNAcentral
UACGAAGGGUGCAAGCGUUACUCGGAAUUAUUGGGCGUAAAGCGUGUGUAGGUGGCUCUCUAAGUCAGGAGUGAAAUCCCCGAGCUUAACUUGGGAAGUGCUUUUGAUACUGCAGAGCUUGAAUGUGGGAGAGGAUCGUGGAAUUCCAGGUGUAGUGGUGAAAUACGUAGAUAUCUGGAGGAACACCGGUGGCGAAGGCGGCGAUCUGGCCCAACAUUGACACUGAGACCCGAAAGCGUGGGGAUCAAACAGG